UACGUAGGGUGCAAGCGUUAAUCGGAAUUACUGGGCGUAAAGCGUGCGCAGGCUGUUAAGCAAGACCGAUGUGAAAUUCCGAGGCUCAACCCCGGAACUGCAUUAGUGACUGCUUAACUAGAGUAAGGGAGAGAGGGGUAGAAUUCCACGUGUAGCAGUGAAAUGCGUAGAUAUGUGGAGGAACACCGAAGGCGAAGGCAGCCCCUUGGCCCAAUACUGACGCUCAGGCACGAAAGCGUGGGGAGCAAACAGG
Molecule: ribosomal RNA, 253 nt
Filed under: uncultured bacterium
Lineage: Bacteria
Description: partial 16S ribosomal RNA
Rfam family: Bacterial small subunit ribosomal RNA
Source: RNAcentral